Molecule: ribosomal RNA, 427 nt
Filed under: uncultured Entrophosporaceae
Lineage: Eukaryota; Fungi; Glomeromycota; Glomeromycetes; Entrophosporales; Entrophosporaceae
Description: SSU rRNA
Rfam family: Eukaryotic small subunit ribosomal RNA
Source: RNAcentral
GGGAGGUAGUGACAAUAAAUAACAAUACGGGGCUCUUUAGGGUCUCGUAAUUGGAAUGAGUACAAUUUAAAUCCCUUAACGAGGAACAAUUGGAGGGCAAGUCUGGUGCCAGCAGCCGCGGUAAUUCCAGCUCCAAUAGCGUAUAUUAAAGUUGUUGCAGUUAAAAAGCUCGUAGUUGAAUUUCGGGAUUGACGUGAUGGUCGUGCCUUACGGGGUAUGAACUGUCGCAGUUGAUUCUCACCUUCUGGAGAAGCUCGAUGUCCUUAAUUGGGUGUCUUGCGGAACCAGGACCUUUACCUUGAAAAAUUAGAGUGUUUAAAGCAGGCAUUUUGCUCGAAUACAUUAGCAUGGAAUAAUAGAAUAGGACGGCAUGGUUCUAUUUUGUUGGUUUCUAGGAUCACCGUAAUGAUUAAUAGGGAUAGUUGGG